CUUCCCUCUCCCUCUCUCGUUUCUCUUUCCCCACGAUCUCCAAACCUCGCCUGUCUCGAGUAAACGAAAACCCUAACUCAGUCACAACUAUAACCACCUUUACUUCCAGAACGAACACAGAAGAAUCCCCGAUCUUCUUCUUCUCAUAUAUGGAUGUUUUUGGUAACAAAAUCGACUUCAUCUGAAAUCGCUCAUCUCUUGUGUAAAAAAAUCACUCUUCUCUUUGUCUAAGCUAUCGACUUCAUCUGAAAUCGGUCAAAGGUUUGCUCAAGUCACUGUGUUUUCAUCACUCUUUCUCUAGCAGAUGAAGAUUGAUGAACAAGAUGAAGGAUGCUGGAACUUCUAAAAGAGAACAUGCAGUCAUGGAGAAGAUUAAAGAAGCACACAGGAGAGUGAUGGUGGCUAACCAUCCUCACAAGGGUGGGAGCAUGUAUCUUGCUAAAAAGAUCAACGAGGCUGGGUACUUUUGAUGGAUAAGGGUCGAUUUCAAUUCUUUCCAUGUGAAGGUAGGACUGAUUGUUGAGCUAGAAGUCAUAGAACAAGUCACGCUGGUGUUUUAUAAAACAAGAAGAAUAAUCAACCAAGAGGGGUACGAUUGGAUAUGAGUCAUGAAAAUCUCUAUUUUUCUUUCUUGAUUUUUUUAAGCUAGGGUUUGCUGUUAGGAUUGACAGAUGCUGAUGAUCCUAUUCCUAGAUCUAGUAAUGGCUUGUCUGAAGAAAUUUCUUUUAAGAUUCUGAAACAGGUGUGGGUUUCUUUUUCUGAAUUCUGUGAUUUUGGUCAGCAUUUUGUGAUUUUAGUGAGUUGCAACUUGUUGUGGCAGGGUUGGAUGUCUAUAGCACAAGUCUUCUACAUCUAUCCAGUUAUUAUCUUAUCUUGAUUACUAAAUGUACCAUGUUUCAGGAAGUUAUAUCCAGAAAUGUAUUGAUUGAUGAAUGUUCAAGGCAGGUUGUCGAGGUGUAGCAAGCAGCCAUGUGGAAGUUUCUUUGGUGGUCGGGAAUCAUAGCUGUCCAUGUUAUGGUUGGCCAAAACAUAGAUGAUCACUCGGAAGGACUCAUGCUGGUUGUUGCAACAAUCUGACAAGAUAUAUGCUGGAGCAUUUUGACAGUGAUUCAGUGAUUCGAAUCACAGUUUGAUUCUUCACAAGACUAAACUUUGUGCUCCUGCACUUGCUCCAUUUUUUAAUACUUAUUACGAAGGUGAUGGUUUUCCCGAUGUGUUUGAUUUGUCAUUGUUGUCUCAUGUCAGGGUUCGUAAUCUUAUUAGAACCUUAAAGUUUGUAUAGCGUCAGUAGUCUGUUCGGUCUGAACUAACCCAAGAACAUCACCCUAAUAGUAUUGUUUAGCAAAGAACUCUUAUCCCGCUAACCAGAAUCCAUCUCAUUUAUUUUGAUACUUCUUAUAUAGAAUCUAAUCGUACUAUUAGAAUUGGUAUCAUUCUUCUUGAUAAUGCAGGAAACUUUUGGGGUGCCAAAACAAUCCCAAGCACAGGAUGAGAUGCUUAACAUGCUGAAGCCAAGGCUCUUCUUGUAGCCACACUAUGGGUUAACGAGCUGGAACUGCAGUUUACUUCAAAGGGGACUGAAUCAUUCUGAAGAUGUAUGCUAUGCUAUCUAGUGUUCAAAUCACCAUAGUUAACUAUUGCUGUUAUAGUGGUCUCUGUCAAGUUUUCUAGAUUUUUGGUGUAGUUAGUGUCAGUAUUAUUCGAAAAAAAUAUUGUCUUUUAGGUUUCUGUUAGUAUUAUUUUGUAACAUUUGAUAAGGUCUUAUUUGGAAUAAAAUUUCUGUUAA
This is a long non-coding RNA of Papaver somniferum (opium poppy), 1786 nucleotides long. RefSeq lists it as uncharacterized. Lineage: Eukaryota; Viridiplantae; Streptophyta; Magnoliopsida; Ranunculales; Papaveraceae. The record is from RefSeq and is a predicted model, not a curated record. The transcript has 4 exons.